This 611-nucleotide transfer RNA is filed under the name uncultured Prochlorococcus sp. RNAcentral describes it as "partial contains 16S ribosomal RNA, 16S-23S ribosomal RNA intergenic spacer, and 23S ribosomal RNA". The stretch from base 227 to 299 matches the Rfam family "tRNA". The record is from RNAcentral. Lineage: Bacteria; Bacillati; Cyanobacteriota; Cyanophyceae; Synechococcales; Prochlorococcaceae.
UGGAUCACCUCCUAACAGGGAGACAACAAAAUGUUUAAUAUUAUUAUUUUGUCACCUUAGGUCGAUCGGUAUCUCACAUUCUUGAUUUAUUAAGAAUUUCAUUUCCUAAGUUUUUCUAGGUCACACCCAUUAUUUUUCCUGGGCCAUUAGCUCAGGUGGUUAGAGCGCACCCCUGAUAAGGGUGAGGUCCCUGGUUCAAGUCCAGGAUGGCCCAUAUCUCUAUGUUGGGGGUAUAGCUCAGUUGGUAGAGCGCCUGCUUUGCAAGCAGGAUGUCAGCGGUUCGAGUCCGCUUACCUCCACUGAUCACCACCUCUUCCAUAAUCGGUAGAAAGGAAAUUUUUUGAGUUGUGAUCAAAUUCUGAAAGAAUCUAGCUUCCUAAUGAAAUCAUUAAGAUGCUGGACUCAUUGAAUUAAUUUCAUUGUUUUCAGAGAACCUUGACAACUGCAUAGAUUAUUUUUAAAGACAAUAAGCAUCUUUAAUGAUGCAGAUUUAUUAUUUGUGCAAAUGCAUUAAUAACAAUUCUAUUAAGCUGAUGCUUCAAUAUUUGAAGUUAUUGGUCAAGCUACAAAGGGCUCACGGAGGAUACCUAGGCACACAGAGGCGAUGAAGG